AAACGCUUGAAGUCAGUCGCGUUUGCUAGGGAUCAACCUUGCUUUUGCUUGGUGUACUCUCUAGUUAACGGGCCAACAUCAAUUUUGACCAUUGGAAAAAGGCUGGAGAAAUGUGGCAUCUUCGGAUGUGUUAUAGUCUCUGGUCGUAUACAGUGGUUGGGAUUGAGGAACUCAGCACGCCGCAAGGCCAGGUUUCGACCAUGUUCGUGCUUAGGAUGUUGGCAUAAUGGCUUUAAUCGA
RNAcentral lists this ribosomal RNA (240 nucleotides) under Entolomataceae sp. RNAcentral's name for it is "partial large subunit ribosomal RNA". Lineage: Eukaryota; Fungi; Basidiomycota; Agaricomycetes; Agaricales; Entolomataceae. The record is from RNAcentral.